GACGAACGCUGGCGGCGCGCUUAACACAUGCAAGUCGAGCGAGAACCAGGGCUUCGGCCCUGGGGACAGCGGCGAACGGGUGAGUAACACGUGGGUAAUCUGCCCUCGGCACCGGGAUAGCCCGGGGAAACCCGGAUUAAUACCGGAUGGCCUCUCGAGCUUUCGGGCUCGUGAGAAAAGGUAGCUUCGGUCCUCCGGCCGAGGAGGAGCCCGCGGCGGAUUAGCUUGUUGGUGGGGUAAUCGGCCCACCAAGGCGACGAUCCGUAGCUGGUGUGAGAGCAUGACCAGCCACACUGGGACUGAGACACGGCCCAGACUCCUACGGGGAGGGCAGCAGGUGGGGAAGUCUUGCGCAAUGGGCGAAAGCCUGACGCAGCGACGCCGCGUGCGGGAAGAAGG
RNAcentral lists this ribosomal RNA (399 nucleotides) under uncultured bacterium. RNAcentral describes it as "bacterial SSU rRNA". It matches the Rfam family "Bacterial small subunit ribosomal RNA", at positions 28 to 414 of the family's 1533-position model. The record is from RNAcentral.